This 253-nucleotide ribosomal RNA is filed under the name uncultured bacterium. RNAcentral's name for it is "partial 16S ribosomal RNA". It matches the Rfam family "Bacterial small subunit ribosomal RNA", at positions 524 to 776 of the family's 1533-position model. The record is from RNAcentral.
UACGUAGGCAGCGAGCGUUGUUCGGAAUUACUGGGCGUAAAGGGUGCGUAGGCGGCGAGGUAAGUCUGAUGUGAAAUCCCGGGGCUCAACCCCGGAACUGCAUUGGAUACUGCCUUGCUUGAGUACUGGAGAGGGAACUGGAAUUUACGGUGUAGCAGUGAAAUGCGUAGAGAUCGUAAGGAAGGCCAGUGGCGAAGGCGAGUUCCUGGACAGUUACUGACGCUGAGGCACGAAGGCCAGGGGAGCAAACGGG